AAAUAUAGAGAAUUUAAUGGCUACAUUUAAAAAUGUACAUUAGGUCAAAGGGUAAAUUUACAAAUUGAUAAUCAGAAUUUGCAACAAUUAAAAGUUUAUUCUCAUAUUUAUCCAAGUUUACUUUUAUUUACAAUGAUAUCUGAAUAAAAAGAACCAUGUGAAAUGUAAGAGAUGUCAGACAUUAAAAGUAUUUUUGGUAUUAACUCUUUUAUAAUAUUUCAGAAUGCAGGGUAGCAAAUUUUAAAACCAACAGCAAUAGAAAAAAUGUAAACCUUUUACUUACUAAGACUGUAUUAAAAACAAGUGCUUGUUUUUAAAGAAGUAUUCUUAUCCUUAGACACUGCACUUUCACUUGAAUGGGGUAUAUUCCAAGGGUUUGGCCUACUUUCUUUUGCCUGUAAACCUUUCCAGCGCAAAUGUUUCCACUAGUUCUUUCUUAUUCCAGGUGGAAAAAAAGUCUUUGGAAAAAUGAGAAUAUGACAAAUCUAUUUUGAAGCCUAAGUGUCUAACAGAGUUAGAUGUAAUUUUGUUACUUAUCUCUCCCCUCCAAGCAAUGCUAAUGCUAAAUCACCAACAGUU
This 579-nucleotide long non-coding RNA is filed under the name Bos taurus (domestic cattle). Its description in RNAcentral is "long non-coding RNA NONBTAT010599". Lineage: Eukaryota; Metazoa; Chordata; Mammalia; Artiodactyla; Bovidae. The record is from RNAcentral.